ACAUAUGUUUUUAAGAGAGCCUUUUCAGGUGGUGCCUUGAUUCUUACAACUAUGGAUGGGGAAGAGCUUACUCGUCCUGUGAAUGUCGAUGCAGUCAAGAAAUAUUUCGCCUAAAAAAGAAAAGAACAACUCGCUAAGUUGAAAAUCCGAAAGGGAGGCUUAGCCUAAAAUGAGCGUCUCGGUGGAUUGAAAACCCGAAAGGGUGAUCCAGGAAAAAUUUAGAGACAUAAAA
Molecule: long non-coding RNA, 232 nt
Filed under: Lathyrus oleraceus (garden pea)
Lineage: Eukaryota; Viridiplantae; Streptophyta; Magnoliopsida; Fabales; Fabaceae
Description: Pisum sativum (pea) long non-coding RNA (PSAT_LNC031820)
Source: RNAcentral